Molecule: RNA transcript, 3495 nt
Organism: Oreochromis aureus
Lineage: Eukaryota; Metazoa; Chordata; Actinopteri; Cichliformes; Cichlidae
Gene name: leucine-rich repeat and fibronectin type III domain-containing protein 1-like protein
Exons: 10
Source: RefSeq, a predicted model, not a curated record
CAGGUCUGUGGAUCCAGCUUGCUGUUCUGUCUUGCUUUUCUGUCCAUCUCCCUGCCACCUCAGUUUAUCUUCAUGUUGAGUCUUAAAACACAGAACACCAGAUAGAGUUACCCUGUUGCCAGUGGAGGAUAAUGGAACGGCUGUGGUUCUCUUUGCUGUUGCUGGCUGCAGCAUGCAGGGGACAGCCGUGUCCGAAACGCUGCAUGUGCCAGAGCCUUUCCCCAUCUCUCGCUAUCCUCUGCUCCAAGACAGGCUUGCUGUUUGUUCCUGCUGCCAUCGAUCGACGCACUGUGGAGCUACGGCUUCAAGAGAACUUCAUUACAGCUGUCAGAAGAAAGGACUUUGCCAACAUGACCAGCUUGUUGCAUCUAACCCUGUCCAGAAACACCAUCAGCCAGAUUCUUCCUUCUGCUUUUAGUGACCUGCGACGCCUGAGAGCACUCCACCUAGACUCUAAUAGAUUAACUGUGAUCAAGGAUGACCAUUUUAAAGGUCUGACCAACCUUCGGCAUCUGAUCCUGGCCAAUAACCAGCUUCACUCUAUAUCUCCCCAUGCCUUUGAUGACUUUCUGUCCACACUGGAGGACCUGGACCUUAGUUACAAUAACCUUGCCCAGGUGCCCUGGGACACAAUUGGACGCCUAACCAAUGUCAACACCCUAAAUAUGGAUCAUAACCUCAUAGAAAAUGUUCCCCAGGGAGUAUUCACCAACCUGCACAAACUGGCAAGGUUAGACAUGACGUCGAACAAGCUAAAGAAAAUUCCCCCAGACCCAUUAUUUCUGAGAAUCCCAGUUUAUGCCAAGUCCAAAGGCUCCCCCCUCUCCUCUCUUGUGUUGAGUUUUGGAGGUAACCCUCUUCACUGUAACUGUGAACUUCUGUGGUUGAGGAGACUAACCAGAGAAGAUGAUCUGGAAACGUGUGCCUCUCCCCCAGACCUUAGUGCCAAGUAUUUCUGGACAAUACCGGAAGAGGAGUUUAUUUGUGACCCACCAGUUCUAACACGAAAGUCACCUCAUACUGUGGCUAUGGAAGGUCAGCCUGCCAGUCUGAAGUGCAAAGCAAAUGGUGACCCUGAGCCUGAAGUCCACUGGAUCAGCCCUGAAGGGAGACUCAUAUCCAAUGGAUCUAGAACAUUAGUCUUCCCUAAUGGAAGCCUAGAGAUCAAUGUAACAUCCCUAAAGGAUUCAGGAAACUUCACCUGCAUUGCAUCAAACACGGCAGGUGAAUCCACAGGAAGGGUGGAGCUAGUCGUCACAGCAAUGCCCCAUCUGGCAAACAGCACAAGCCGCAGUCGAGAUCCUUCUUCUGAACCGGCCCCCUCUGACAUCCUGACCUCCUCUAAGGUUGCACUGCCCAACAACGAGACAAGAGGAGCAGACAGGAGGGUUUCAUUGGUGGAGCUGACAGGAAACUCUGCCCUCAUUAGAUGGAGCAGUCAAACCCCUACAUCUGGAGUCAGGAUGUUCCAAGUCCAGUACAACAGCUCUGGGGAUGACACACUCGUUUACAGAAUGAUUCCAUCCAGCAGCAACGACUUCCUGGUGCGGGACCUCGCUGCUGGACGUAGCUAUGAUCUUUGUGUCCUGGCCGUGUUUGAUGACGUCGUCACAUCGCUGACUGCAACUCGUCCUUUGGGCUGUCUGUCAUUUACCACAGACACAGAGUUCAGCCAGUGCCAAGCAUUGCACAGCCAUUUCUUGGGUGGUACUAUGAUCAUCAUCAUUGGAGGGAUUAUUGUUGCUUCUGUGCUUGUUUUUAUUAUCAUCCUAAUGAUACGAUACAAGGUUUACAGCCACCAAGGAGCAGGCCAUGGAAAAGCAGCCAUCACUGCGACUGCUCCAAGACCACAGAGCAAUGGACAAGGAGGCAGUCAGGUCCAAGUCCUUCCUCACUCUGCCUCAAAGAUAACUGACAGUCAUGAUGACCAAGUCCUCGGACCAUCCAGGGCAAUGUCGCCUAGCAACACUCUGCGAGACACUGUCACGUUGGUCGAGGAGGAGAGCAGUGGACGGAGCCUAAUGACAAGGACUGACUCGUCAGCGAACGAGGAGUUGCUGUCACCCACAAAGUCCCGCUUCUCCUCCAGGGUCGCCAUUGAGAUGAAAAUUCGACCGCCAUCUGUUGCCAAAGAGCCCACCUCUCCCAAAGAACUGGCAGAGCCCUGAUGUUGUUGUGUGAAGACUGGACGCUUCCCACUGGGAAAAGCUGGUGAAACCACCUGAAGAAUAAAGGCCCUAUAGCUUAUGUUCCUGUAUCUCACUGUACCCAUUAAUUUGUCGCCAUGAAUAUCACAGGGUUAUAGACCUGUAGUCUUCGGUUUACAUUCGAGUGCUUAUCCUGGUUCUCAUUUCUGGAUUGGACAACUGUGUCAAGGCCUGGUGUCUGCUUGGCUGCUGAUUGGCCAGCUGGUGCAGGAUCUGGCUGACAGUGUGACAUACCAAUCAGUUUUCAUGGAAGAGAUUUGUUUUUACUUUUUAGCAUCUCUACCAGUGUUGAAGCGGAGACGUAUAAAGGGGCAUAUGGAUAUGUUCAACAUAUGAAUGGACAAAAACUUCAACAUGCAUGGACAGAAAAGGCCGAACAGUGAGCAAGCAAGAUGAAUGCAUAGAUAAUCACAUUCAGCCUAGGAAUACAAUGUGAUAGACUGCACAAACAGUUAAAAAAAGAAUUAAAAAAAGCUACUGGAGGGGUCUGUUUUGGGCAUGAACAUACGCUGCUUUCUUGGCUCAAGGUGGCUCACCAGUUUUUAUCCCUGUGGAAUAAAAUAAUUCAAUUAAAUUGAACCAAGCAAAGCUGUUCCUGGGCUGAACUGGAGAUGGACAUUAACUCACCAGACCCUGAUAUUUCUUAAUAAAAAUGUUAUCCUUGGAAAGCAUAGUACAUAGUAAAACUUGAAUUGAAAAAACCUGGACCCAACAGGACUUUAACUAGAACUGUACAGUGAUCAGAGUUCUGAUACUGAUUAAACUGUACCAGAUUACCAAGGACUGGUUUGGGUCUAGUGUGUGUAUUCUGCAGCUCUGGCCUCUAUGUCUUCUGCUUUCCACUGGACAGGUGAGGACCUGAUGAACCUCCCUUACAUCUCUCCUCGCCCCCUUAAACAGACCCAGUGACCAGAAGGAAAGCCGCAUGUCUGAAGUCCAGAAAGACAAAUUAAUGGUUAAGAGAAAACAAGCAAAGUAGCAGGGUUCCAAAUCAUGAGUCAUUAUUGAUAUCAUCCGAGAUUUUUAUCCAAAACAUCAUCAACCUGAACCUUCAUCACAGAAUAAGUUUACAAGAAAAAGAGUUCUGCACUACAAAUCAGAAUAGUUUAAUGUGAAGAAAAAUGCUGUAUGACUGUAUAUUACUGCACAACUUACAUUGCUAAUAGCUCGGCUGUUGUCGUCUAGGCCUUGCACAUCUCCAUUAUCUCUUUCAUUAUUACCACAGUGGAGUGCAUUUACGUGCACACGGCAUGAGCGAUAACAGGCCACAUCUUACCUAAUGUUCUAU